GUGGGGAAUAUUGGGCAAUGGGGGAAACCCUGACCCAGCAACGCCGCGUGAAGGAAGAAGGUUUUCGGAUCGUAAACUUCUAUCCUUGGUGAAGAUAAUGACGGUAGCCAAGAAGGAAGCCCCGGCUAACUACGUGCCAGCAGCCGCGGUAAUACGUAGGGGGCAAGCGUUGUCCGGAAUGAUUGGGCGUAAAGGGCGCGUAGGCGGCCCGGUAAGUCUGAAGUGAAAGUCCUGCUUUUAAGGUGGGAAUUGCUUUGGAUACUGUCGGGCUUGAGUGCAGGAGAGGUAAGCGGAAUUCCCGGUGUAGCGGUGAAAUGCGUAGAGAUCGGGAGGAACACCAGUGGCGAAGGCGGCUUACUGGACUGUAACUGACGCUGAGGCGCGAAAGUGUGGGGAGCAAACAGGAUUAGAUACCCUUGUAGUCC
This 425-nucleotide ribosomal RNA is filed under the name uncultured bacterium. Its description in RNAcentral is "partial 16S ribosomal RNA". It matches the Rfam family "Bacterial small subunit ribosomal RNA", at positions 354 to 796 of the family's 1533-position model. The record is from RNAcentral.